This 490-nucleotide ribosomal RNA is filed under the name uncultured bacterium. RNAcentral describes it as "partial 16S ribosomal RNA". It matches the Rfam family "Bacterial small subunit ribosomal RNA", at positions 29 to 507 of the family's 1533-position model. The record is from RNAcentral.
AGUGAACGCUGGCGGUAGGCCUAACACAUGCAAGUCGAACGGCAGCACAGAGGAGCUUGCUCCUUGGGUGGCGAGUGGCGGACGGGUGAGGAAUACAUCGGAAUCUACUCUGUCGUGGGGGAUAACGUAGGAAAACUUACGCUAAUACCGCAUACGACCUACGGGUGAAAGCAGGGGAUCUUCGGACCUUGCGCGAUUGAAUGAGCCGAUGUCGGAUUAGCUAGUUGGCGGGGUAAAGGCCCACCAAGGCGACGAUCCGUAGCUGGUCUGAGAGGAUGAUCAGCCACACUGGAACUGAGACACGGUCCAGACUCCUACGGGAGGCAGCAGUGGGGAAUAUUGGACAAAGGGCGCAAGCCUGAUCCAGCCAUACCGCGUGGGUGAAGAAGGCCUUCGGGUUGUAAAGCCCUUUUGUUGGGAAAGAAAUCCAGCCGGCUAAUACCUGGUUGGGAUGACGGUACCCAAAGAAUAAGCACCGGCUAACUUCGUG